UCAGGCCUAACACAUGCAAGUCGAGCGGUAGCAGGAAGUGCUUGCACUUCGCUGACGAGCGGCGGACGGGUGCGUAACACGUAGGAAUCUGCCUGGUAGUGGGGGAUAGCCCGGAGAAAUCCGGAUUAAUACCGCAUACGCCCUACGGGGGAAAGGAGGGGACCCGUUUCUUUUAUAAGGAGCGAGCCUUUCGCUAUCAGAUGAGCCUGCGUCGGAUUAGCUUGUUGGUGGGGUAAAGGCCUACCAAGGCGACGAUCCGUAGCUGGUCUGAGAGGAUGAUCAGCCACACUGGGACUGAGACACGGCCCAGACUCCUACGGGAGGCAGCAGUGGGGAAUAUUGCACAAUGGGCGAAAGCCUGAUGCAGCCAUGCCGCGUGUGUGAAGAAGGCCCUAGGGUUGUAAAGCACUUUCAGUGGGGAGGAAAGGUUGAAGGUUAAUACCCUUCAGCUGUGACGUUACCCACAGAAGAAGCACCGGCUAACUCCGUGCCAGCAGCCGCGGUAAUACGGAGGGUGCGAGCGUUAAUCGGAAUUACUGGGCGUAAAGCGUGCGUAGGCGGCCACCUAAGUUGGAUGUGAAAGCCCCGGGCUCAACCUGGGAACUGCAUCCAAAACUGGGUGGCUAGAGUACGGGAGAGGAGUGUGGAAUUUCCUGUGUAGCGGUGAAAUGCGUAGAUAUAGGAAGGAACACCAGUGGCG
This 700-nucleotide ribosomal RNA is filed under the name uncultured bacterium. RNAcentral describes it as "bacterial SSU rRNA". It matches the Rfam family "Bacterial small subunit ribosomal RNA", at positions 42 to 717 of the family's 1533-position model. The record is from RNAcentral.